This 468-nucleotide ribosomal RNA is filed under the name Triticum aestivum (bread wheat). Its description in RNAcentral is "partial small subunit ribosomal RNA". Lineage: Eukaryota; Viridiplantae; Streptophyta; Magnoliopsida; Poales; Poaceae. The record is from RNAcentral.
AUGGCCAACGGCACAAGGUGCUGCGACCUCUUCCGCCCUCCGCCAUGGCUCCUCUCUAUCCCCCCACUAGCACCCUCCUCACCCCUUGCCCACUCCCGGCUGAUCCCCAAGGCUGCCCCCUCCCUCUCUCAUUUGAUCUGGUCCGGACAAUCACUCGACCGAGCUCGAUACCACAUAUUGUUGGCCAUCUCACACUCUGGUUGCAGCAAUUGGAUGUGCCCUGUGAAACCUGUAACAUUUGAGCAUUGCAAGCGGCGGUACGGCAGUCCGAAUCCUGACGUUCUUGGGAGUGCAGGAGAAGAACGGCUAUCUUGCUUUUCUGAAAUCAACAGGAGCUCGGUCUGGAAAAUGUUGGAUAUUCUCGAAGAAAUACUUGCGAUGAAGGAUAGCCAUUGUUUGCAUGCUUCCUCCCUGUGGUGCAUUUGGUUCCUAAGCCAUCCUCUCAAGCUCCCACUUCGACAGUUGUGA